This 505-nucleotide ribosomal RNA is filed under the name Klebsiella quasipneumoniae. RNAcentral's name for it is "partial 23S ribosomal RNA". It matches the Rfam family "Bacterial large subunit ribosomal RNA", at positions 690 to 1193 of the family's 2925-position model. Lineage: Bacteria; Pseudomonadati; Pseudomonadota; Gammaproteobacteria; Enterobacterales; Enterobacteriaceae. The record is from RNAcentral.
GGGCGUUAAGUUGCAGGGUAUAGACCCGAAACCCGGUGAUCUAGCCAUGGGCAGGUUGAAGGUUGGGUAACACUAACUGGAGGACCGAACCGACUAAUGUUGAAAAAUUAGCGGAUGACUUGUGGCUGGGGGUGAAAGGCCAAUCAAACCGGGAGAUAGCUGGUUCUCCCCGAAAGCUAUUUAGGUAGCGCCUCGUGAACUCAUCUUCGGGGGUAGAGCACUGUUUCGGCUAGGGGGUCAUCCCGACUUACCAACCCGAUGCAAACUACGAAUACCGAAGAAUGUUAUCACGGGAGACACACGGCGGGUGCUAACGUCCGUCGUGAAGAGGGAAACAACCCAGACCGCCAGCUAAGGUCCCAAAGUCAUGGUUAAGUGGGAAACGAUGUGGGAAGGCACAGACAGCCAGGAUGUUGGCUUAGAAGCAGCCAUCAUUUAAAGAAAGCGUAAUAGCUCACUGGUCGAGUCGGCCUGCGCGGAAGAUGUAACGGGGCUAAACCAUGCA